GGACCACUUCGACGACGACGAGCUUGACGUCAACUUCUGCGACCCCUGCUGGAGCGAUGACCGCGGCUG
RNAcentral lists this non-coding RNA (69 nucleotides) under Polarella glacialis. The record is from RNAcentral. Lineage: Eukaryota; Dinophyceae; Suessiales; Suessiaceae.